AUUGAACGCUGGCGGCAGGCCUAACACAUGCAAGUCGAGCGGAUGAAGGGAGCUUGCUCCUGGAUUCAGCGGCGGACGGGUGAGUAAUGCCUAGGAAUCUGCCUGGUAGUGGGGGAUAACGUCCGGAAACGGGCGCUAAUACCGCAUACGUCCUGAGGGAGAAAGUGGGGGAUCUUCGGACCUCACGCUAUCAGAUGAGCCUAGGUCGGAUUAGCUAGUUGGUGGGGUAAAGGCCUACCAAGGCGACGAUCCGUAACUGGUCUGAGAGGAUGAUCAGUCACACUGGAACUGAGACACGGUCCAGACUCCUACGGGAGGCAGCAGUGGGAAAUAUUGGACAAUGGGCGAAAGCCUGAUCCAGCCAUGCCGCGUGUGUGAAGAAGGUCCUCGGAUUGUAAAGCACUUUAAGUUGGGAGGAAGGGCAGUAAGUUAAUACCUUGCUGUUUUGACGUUACCAACAGAAUAAGCACCGGCUAACUUCGUG
Molecule: ribosomal RNA, 484 nt
Filed under: uncultured bacterium
Lineage: Bacteria
Description: partial 16S ribosomal RNA
Rfam family: Bacterial small subunit ribosomal RNA
Source: RNAcentral